GAUAGCAAAAUAUGGGAUUUACAUCAACAAAGCAGCAUUCUCCCUGUGUUAAGAUUGAGUUACCAUCAUCUUCCGUCUCAUUUGAAAAGAUGUUUUGCUUUUUGUGCCAUCUUUCCAAAAGAUUAUGAAUUCACUGAGAAGGGGCUAACUUUCUUGUGGAUGGCUGGAGGUAUUAUUCGACAGUCAAGAAACAGUGAGCAGCUGGAAGAUUUGGGCAGCAAGUGCUUUCAUGAUCUAGUGUCAAGGUCUAUUUUUCAACAAACCAGCUCUGGUAGUUCUAAAUUUGUAAUGCACGACCUUAUCCAUGAUUUUGCUGAAUUGGUUUCUGGAGAGACCAUUUUAAGGUUAGAGGAAUCCACCAACUUGUCGUCAAGGAGAUUUGAAAGAGUUCGCCAUUCUUCCUAUGCCCGUGGUUGGCUUGAUGGUAAAAAUAAGUUUGAGGUUUUCUAUGAAAUUGAACAUCUGCGAACAUUCUUGCCAUUCUGCAUAAGAGGUGGCCCUAAUACUAGUUACGUAACUAGUUUACUUCUAUAUGAUUUGUUGCCGAAGUUUAAAAAGUUGAGGAUGCUAUCUUUAGAAGGAUACCAGAUUGGUGAGUUACCAAUUCCAUUUGAAGAUUUGAGACCUUUAAGGUUCCUCAACCUUGCCGACACUGACAUAAGAAGUUUACCCGAGUCAACAUGCAAAUUGCUGAACUUGGAAAUUUUGAUAUUACGAAAUUGUUCCCGUUUGAUAAAGCUUCCGCCCAAAAUGAGGAAUUUGAUCAAUUUACGCCAUCUCGAUAUAAAAGGUGCAAAGCUGCUGAAGGAGAUGCCAUUGGGAAUGAAAGCGUUGAGGAGUCUUCAAACAUUGUCCAAUUUUAUUGUAGGCAAGGGUGAAUCUGCAUCUGGUUUGGAAGAUUUAAAAAGUUUAAACUUUCUUUGUGAUGAACUCUGCAUUGCUGGAUUAGAGAGUGUGAAUAGUCCACAGAAUGCAAGAGAAACCGCAUUAUGCGAGAAGCACAAUCUUGAAGCAUUGACUCUAGAAUGGGGGUCUCAAUCUAACAGUCCUCGGGAUGCAGUACUAGAGGAGAAUGUACUUGACACUCUACAGCCUCAUAAACGUAUAAAAGAGCUGGCAAUCAGGCACUAUGGUGGUGCAAGAUUUCCACUUUGGAUCGGACAUCCUUCGUUCUCCGAGAUGAAGGUCCUUAAAUUGGAGAACUGUGACAAGUGUGUAUCUCUGCCAUCGCUUGGCCUGAUGAAUUCACUUAAGCACCUUGCUGUUAAAGGGCUGAAGAAACUAAAAAGCAUAGAGUCUGCGGUCUUUCCAUCAUUGGAGAUUCUAAGUUUUGAGAAUUUGCCAGAAUGGGAGCAUUGGGACACCAAUAUCAAUGGAAAUGUGCACGUUGAAAUAUUUCCUCAUCUCCAAGAACUUUCCAUUGCAGAAUGUCCCAAACUCUCUGGAGAACUGCCUGAGCUCCUGCCCUCCUUGGAGACACUUGUCGUUAGUAAAUGUGAACAGUUGGCAGUUCCAUUGUCUUGCUAUCCGAUGCUCUGCAGAUUAGAAGUUGAUGAGUGCAAAGAACUCGUGUGCGGGACUCCAAUUAAUUUUAAGUUGGUAAAGUCUUUGACCAUUUCAAAUAGUUCAUUAGACAUGAAUGGAUGCAAUGGGAUGCUAUACCAUGGUCCAGCUGGCUCUUCACUGUCUAAACGCAUGACUAUUACAAAUGUUUUGGAGUUUGGAAAAUUAUUGAAGCCUGGAUUUCAGAUAUUAGAAUAUUUGGUAAUUGGCAAUUCUGAACAGCUCAAGUCAUGGAGGCGGGCCAGGAGACCUAGACGUUUUAAUGAACCAGAACACGGGCUAAAAAUUCUCGCUUCCCCUGAAGAGGUAACAAUUGAAGAAAGUUGCGUAAAUCUUGUUUUGUUUGCAGAGAUCAAUUUCUUUCCCAGAAAUCUGCGCUCUCUUCUAAUUUUCAAUAACAUACCUUUAAAAUCCUUACCCGAGGAAAUGAUGGACAACAAUUCACAACUGGAAAGCUUGUGCAUCAGAAAUUGCGAUUCUCUAACAUUCAUCACAAGACACAAGCUACCUUCAUCUCUAAAAAGUAUAGCAAUUAAGAAUUGUGAGAAAUUGCAACGUCCGUUCGAUGAUGAAGAGGAUGCUUCUUCUUCUUCUUCUCCUUCAUCCUCGUCUUCCCCAGUGAUGCUGCAAUGCCUGACUAUAGAGAACUGCCCAGAGCUCACCAGUUUAUCAUCGGGAAUCCAAUUCCUUGAGGCGCUUGAAGUACUCGAGCUAAGGGAUUGUCGAAAGCUGGAGUCAUUACCGGAUGGCCUGCAAAAUCUUAACUGUUUACAGAGCAUUCAUAUAGAUGGAUGUCCAAGUCUUGUUUCCUUCCCAGAAAGAGGGCUUCCCAACACCAUUUCGAGAGUUUACAUUCGUGGUUGUGAGAAGCUUGAAGCCCUGCCCAACGACAUGCACAAACUCAACUCUCUCGAAACUUUAAACAUACGGAAAUGUCCAAAUCUUGUAUCGUUUCCAGAGGAAGGUUUUCCUACCAGUCUAGUAUCACUUACAAUUGGAUAUGUCAAAAUGUAUAAGACACUCGUCCAGUGGGGGUUGCAUAGGCUUACCUCUCUUACACACCUCGAGAUUAUUGGAUGUGAUGAUGAAGCAGAGUGUUUUCCAGACGAGGAGAUAGGAAUGAUGCUGCCCACCUCUCUCACUCAUCUGCAACUUUCGGAAUUCAAAAAAUUGAUAUCUCUCUCUUCGACGGGUUUUCAGAGCCUCAACUCUCUUCAAUCUUUGUGGAUAUUGGGUUGCCCAAAUCUCACAUCAUUCCCAGAGGUGGGCCUUCCAUCCUCACUUUUGGAAUUACACAUUGUCAAGUGUCCAAAGCUUAAAGAAGUUUGCAAAAGAGACCAAGGAGAAGAGUGGCCCAAAAUUGCUCACAUCCCUUGUUUUGAGAUAGACUGGAAAUUCAUAUACGAUCCAGAAUCAGAGGAGUAGAUUCUCCUAUUAAGGUCAGUUGAUUUUUUAUUAUCCGUUAUAACAAGCUCCUCCUUUUUUAUUUUUUUAAUAAUAAUUUAGCAGUUCUAUAUAAUUAUAAAUCCUCCGCCCUUAAUUGAAAAUGUCACUCAUUUGAUUCCAUUUUCACAAGUCAGAUCGUAUGUUGAGGUUAUUUGCAUUUUAUCGGUGUUUAUUAAGGUAAUUAGUGCGUUAUAGGUUGAUUACUCACAGAUUAAGUUAUAACAUUUAUCUUAAAAUUUAAUGUCAUAGACAGAGAUGAUUUUUUAAUCCAAAGUUUUCUUGAUUCACUUCAAUUAGCAUUUUCUUUUCCCCAGAUCAGGCACGCGGAGAGUUCCAAUCAAGAAUUGGAGCAUGUGAAUGGGAUUUUUGUGAAAACAUAAUGAUGCAGGAACUGGGAUCUCAAAGUCAACAGAAUUUUAUUUACUCAUUGACUUUUCAACUCCUGUGGUUAUUUAUGGGUGAAAGAAAGAUAAGGGCAAUUUCAAGAAAUUUGCAAACUCUGUCAAUUUCUUUUAAUUGUACCAAUUUGUCGUUUAUGCUUUGGUUUUAUUUUUUCAGUUUUGUUUAUUGCUUAGAUGGUAGCAUACUUGAAAUGAUACAUAGCCUUCACCGGCAGAAUUCUAGUCUUGGCUUUCACCUCUCUAACUCAUCUCAUCUGUUCCUAUUGGGAUUCCAGAAAUUGAAAUUUCUGUCAUCAAUGGGUUUCAAAGCCUCACCGCUCUCCGAUUUUUGUGGAUCGGGAAUUGCACAAAUCUCACAUCAUUUCCAGAGGUGGGCCUUCCAUCCUUGCUUUUUGGAAUUACAAAUUGGAAAAUGCUACUUUCCCCGGGUCAAAUCCCAGGUCAAACCCCGAAUUAAACCAAAACGACACCGUUUUGGUUUCUUUUUUUUGUCCUUUUUGCUUCCAUGAAACGUGGUCGUUUCAGCCAAACAAAAGCAAAUGUCUUCGUUUUUUACUUCCUCUCCUCUUCGAUUCUCCUCUUCGUUUUACCAACAGACCAACAGAGCACAAAUUGCAGAAGUCACUUGCACAUCAAUUCAUCACAAAAUGCAGAGUUUUACUAAAGAAAAAAACGAUGCCGUUUUUCUUGCCAAAUAUUUUCCAUUUCCUUCGUUCAUGGAGCUCCUGCCACCGCCAAAGCCAAAUAUUUCCCCUUUCAUUUCCUUCGUCAAUCAAGCUCCAGCCACUUGCUUCGUCGAUCGAGCUCUAGCCACAGCCAUUCGCAAAUCGCAGUCCACAAUCCGCGCCUGAAAUUGUCAUUCACAAUCCACAACUCACAACCAUGACUUCACACAGAGAACGACUCCCACAGCCUUCACGCGACAGCGAGAUCGAGCUCUUUAACAUUCGAAGAACAUAUCUGGUUGCGAAAGUUGAUUUUUAAUUUGCUUGCGAGCUGAGAUGCUUCGAAUUCUCUGUUUUUUUUUUUUUUUUGUAAAUUACUAAGCCAAAAGCUUUGCAUAAGCUUCUGCUUCGGUUUUGAAGAUUGUGAAGCUGGAAAUGUUUUUUCCCUUUUUAUAAAUGGAUAAUUGAAAGUUUGAACUUUACCUUCGUACUUUCUUUUUCAUAAAUUGCUCAUGGUGCAGUCUCAUUUUGCUAGUUGAAGAAACAGUUAAGGGGGUCUGUAGUUGGGAAGAAAGAGGAAACGAAAAUGAAAAGAAAAAGCUUAAGUCUCGGUGCGUUCAAGUAGCAUUUUUUCAAUUAAAAAAUUUAAUUCUCAAAACGGCGUCGUUUUCUAAAGUUUCGGGGUUUGACCCGGGAUUUGACCCGGGGUAAAUAGCAGAACUCUUACAAAUUUACAGUUGUCAGAAGCUUGAAAAAGUGUGUAAAAGAGAUCAAAAUUCUUGUCUUGGCUUUCACGUAGGGAUGGCAAAAAUCCCCACGGGGACGGGUACCCUCGGGGAUUUUCCCCAUUCGGGGAGGGUAUGGGGAUAAUUUCAUACCCAAUUUCUUAUUCGGGGAGGGGACGGGGAAAUUUUGUUACCCAAUUUCUUAUUCGGGGAGGGGACGGGGAUGAGGUGGAAUCCCCAUCCCCUACCCAUUUCCCCAUUUUAAUUUUUAAUUUUAUUUUAAUUUUUUAAAAUUACUAGUAAAUAAAUAAUAAAAUUUAAAUUAUAAAAUUAUAAAUAUUGGUAAAAAUAAAAAAUAUCAAAAUAUUUAUAUUAUUAAACUUUUAGGCUUAAUUAACUAAUUAAAGUCCUAAAUUUUUAUUUAGGACAUUAAAAAGACCGAGUAGAUUCUAUUAGCCCAAAAGUUUUUUAUUUUUAAUAUUCUUUAAAUAUUUUAAACUUAAAUCUAUUUUUUAUUUAUUUUUAGAUGUUAUAAUUGCCCACAUCGAAUCACAAUUUUAAUAUCUAAUCUAAUCUAAUCUAAUCUAAUAUUUACUCUUGAUUUGCUCCGAUUUAACUAUUGUGUUGUAAAGGGAAUAGUCCACAUUUAUAAAGUGCCCACGCCACCAUUAAAAAAGUUAAUUUUGAAUCUAAAUUCGAUUUUAUUUGUAACAAUUUUGUAUUAAACUAUUAAUUUGUUCAUGAUAGUUUGUAAAAGAAGUUUGUAUCCCUUGCAUGCUGUGUUACUUACUAAUUUAAUGUAUGUGACUUUUGUAAUGGAUAUUAAUGUAAGAUAUAUUUCAAAUUUUACUUUUAUUUGAAUUUUUUAUUUUAAUAUGAUUAACUCAAAAUCGAAAAAAAAAUAUUAGUUAUUCGGGGAUCGGGGACCCUCGGGGAUCCCCUGUUAUUAUUCGGGGAGGGGAUGGAGAUUCGCUCAAGUAAUUCUGACGGGAACGGGGAGGGGACGGGGACAUACGCAAAAUAUCGGGGAUGGGUACGGAGAGAUUGGUCCCCUCCCCUCCCCUCCCCAUUGCCAUCCCUACUUUCACGGAUAGUUUUUAUCACGUAACCACGUGAGGAAGCAUGUGCUGGAGCCUGAAUUCAGUUAGUUAAAGUUUGUUAACCACGUGUCAACAAACUGUAUAAUCUGGAAAAUAAGCUAGCUAUUGAAACAGGGUAUAAAGGCUGGUUUUUCAGGGACUAUCGAGAGCUGAUUCUAGAGUCUUGUAGAAAGAGGUUUGUGAGAGAGAAAGUGUCAUCUUGUUCUCUGUAAAAUCCGAUAUAGGGCUCUGUAACGAUCUCCAUUGUUGAAUCAAUAAAACUCAUCUAGAAGCUUCUCUCGUGGACGUAUUCUGAGCAAUCAAUGCACAGCUGAACCACGUAAUAUCUUGGUUUCUGUGGGUUCUUGUUUUGGUUCUUGAUAAAUUCUUGUUGUUGUAUUGAGGUGUGAUUUGAUCUGUCUAAACUUGUAUCUGUGCAACUUGAAUUGAUUUGAUGAUAAGAAUCUUGGGCAGUGAUCAGAUUCGUUUAGUUUAAAGAACAAGCUGAUUACUACCGUACCUAUGCAUGGACCUGCAACCUGUGCUGACAAAACUGAAACUGUGAGUUUGAGGUAAAAAGGUCCUGGACCCUCACAGUUUAACUUUGACUUGUUGCUUUCUGGAUAAACAUAUUUUAGAAAUUUGCAAUUUGUUGUUAAUUAUGGUAUGUGAUUUUCUUCUUUGUUUUCGCUUUUGUAGAAUCUACCGUAUUACAUAUUGGCAGUUGUAUCUGAGGUACCUUUUUUGCAUUUAACUUGCCUUUAUCUGUUUUGCCUGUUACUUAACAACACAAACACAUCAUUUCCCAAACAUUUGGAGAAGCAUCUCAAGAUGCUUAACAAACUUGACAAACUUCAAGAUGCUCCCAAGCCUUGAUUCUUCACAAUGGAAGACCUGUGAGUACACUUAUGCCCGCAAUUAUUGUGAAGUGAUUGCAACUUUGAUGCAGCGAAAUGGUUUGCUGAUGCAAAGCUUUAAAACUGUUAAGAAUUACCCUGCAGGCUUGUUGGAUGUUGUAUACUCCAAAAGCCACCAACACCAAGAACUAUAACAGCAAGACUAGGUUUGCAUUAAUUCAAUUAGCUGAAAUAAUGAUGCAAAUGGCACUAUCCAGCUCGACUUAGAGACUAGUCAGGUCAAUCAUCCAUUUCAUCAACAGUUAAUGUCAGGAUGGUGGCUAGCAGAGGAAACAAAGGAUAUGUUGGAAUCAAUAAGAACAGUGAGAAGCAUGAGAGGAGCUUUGAUUAUAAGUAGGCUCAAUGAACUAGUGUUGGUAAGUGGUAAUUAGAGCAAUUUGUGAGCUUAGUAGAGUUUCAAUAUUUUCUGUUUGGGAUAUAGUUGAUAAGUUGAUACUCUGAUUAAGAAGGCUGAUUAUAGUAGCUGACUAUAUUAACCGGGUUCUCUUUUUUGGUUUGCUGUUGUUUUUUCUUUCAAUAUCUUUUUCAACAUUAGGUUUAGCUGUUGAAGAACAAGCUUGGGUUUGAUUAUCAGGUAAGAACAAAUGAAUGCUUUAACCAUGUUUCUCACUUAUCACAAUGCACGGAUUGAAGGCGUCUGAGUUGAUCCUGAAAAUUUGAUGGAAACACUUCUCUGUUUUCAUAAAACAGGACAACCAGAAAUAUCUGAUCAUGCCUGAGAAUUCGUCGCAUUGAAAUUUUCUACCAUUGCCAAACAUAGAAUAAACCAGGGAUACAUUAGCUUAAGACUCAAUUUUGAGAAGGAAGUUUGUACUUGCAGACUAUAAAAUCAUGUCUACCUUGUAUGUUUCUGUGGGGAAUGAAAGAUUCUGUGUGUUCUUUUACUUCGGGUUUGCUGAAAUCACAUUUGUUUUCUCAGAUGCUUUCCGGAAGGUAACAACGUCAAUUUCAAAAAUGUUGGGGUAAGAUGCAUCAUGCAGUGCUGCUCAACAUGAGAAUUCCUGGCCGCAUUACCCGUAUGUGGAAUGAUCUCACACUACAACCUUGAGAAGGUUGUAAGGAGUACACAACUAGAUGCGAGUAGUUUCAAAAUGAAUUCACAUGGAAUUAUAUGUUGCCGCUUAUUACUAUCACGUCUAUCCGAAAAUUCUUGGAAUUUGUCACCGGCAUUGAAGGAUUGUAUACGUGAAGACAUAGCUGAUGGCCUUGCGAAAGCUCCAUCAGCACUUAUAUCGGAAACAGCUGGUUGUAGUUGCUCCUGAGUGAUAUGAUUAAUAGAUACUGUAAAAAUGAACUGUGCCACUCAUAUCGAAAACCAGCUGUUAUGAUGUGUUGGUAAUGUGUUUGAUGCUUGUUUGAUUUAUGUUGUAUUCGGCUAUAAAUCAAAGAUCAGAACAUGGGUGUGUUACUGGUUUCCAAAUCAAAAAAUGCCUUGUGAUGUUAGUGUUCACUGUUUUCACAGGAGACCAGGUUCCUUGUUAAUGAGUCAAGAAGAAGACAAGUGAAUCCAUGUCUGAGUUCAAAUGUGUCUUUUCUAUUUCUUUUACCGACACAUUUAUUUUGAUUUCUUUGACUAGAUGACUAAAGAGUAAAGAUAGAAGAAAUCAAAACAAAUGAGUCAGGUCCCACCUGGCCCAUUGGCCCAUCUCUCUUCCAGCCCAAAUCACUCUCAUUCGCUAUUUUGCCACCUUCAUUUCACUGCCCUCAUAGCUCCCCGUUCUCACGGUGGCUGCCAUCUUUCUGCUCACGCAUCUUUCAAAUUUCAAACCUAACAGCAUUCUGUUGCUCUGUCGUGGGUACUUCAACUUCUGUCACCUUCGGUAAGCUUAUCUCUGCCCCUCUGUGGCUGUCUCUCUCUUUACAAUGUUGUUUCUUAUUCAAUUUACAGAAUUGAAUUCACUGUUCAGUUUAUGGGUUAGAUUUUUAUUCAAAAUAAUAUUAAACCCACCUCAGAUUUUAUCCCGUAGUAUGUAAAGUUCAUGUAAAGUUUCCACCUUUACGACCGUCCGAUGUUUAAAGUUCUAAUUUUGUUCCGGGGUUUUAUCAGUGUAUUUAGAAAUUAUGUCCAUUGUUUUUAUGAAAAUGGAACUAUUUUCAUUUGUUUAUUUCUCUAUGGAUGAGAAAACCGGUCUUUAAGCUUUAUAAUCUUUAUUUGAUUAUUAGAUUUCUCUUUUGUUAUUCAGAUGAGUUCAGUUUUCCAAUUCUGUGCAAUUGUUUUGUUGCAUUUUUCAAUUUUAUCUUUUUCCAAUGCGACGUUUAUGUUUGUAUUUUCUUAAAAGUGGACAUGAAUUUUGAUUUGUUGUUGCUUUGUUGUGAUUGAGUAGCCAAUUUUAAGUCCAUAUUAAACUUUCUCAAUUAUUAGUUGAAUUAUUUGGAUUUGAAAUUUUAAGUUCUUAAAACCGCCAUUUUAACUUGUUUGUUAAUGGCUCUGUUGAGCUUCAACAUUUGUUUUCAAGAACAAAAUUGAUGGAACUAUAAACCUUCGUUUCUCACAUGCGGGCAACAUGUUAUGUUAGACAGAGUGAAAUCGACAGAAGAAACCAAAACAUUGGAAACAGAGACACAGAGAGAGAUCAGCAGAAAUGGCUUGGUGCAGAGUACGCUCAGCUUCAUCGACACUCUUCAUUAGGCUUCUCUGCCCUUUCAUUCUCAACAAUAACACUACUUAACGCUAUCAGUCCUGUGGUACUCUUGUUUCUAUACUUGUGGAAUCUCUUUUUUAAUCCUCAAAGUUUGAAUUAAAUUAUAUUGCCUCUGUAUUUCUGCAGAAACGGAAUCAGUUGGUGAUGACAUUAAUUCUCAAGUUGGAAGUUGCAUGCCACUUUCUUGUAUGCAUGUUGGGACCAUCAUCAACAACAUUGAGGUAAACUCAGCCAAGAUUUUGAAAAAGAAUCCACUUCAAGGUACUGCUUAGUUUCUGGAAAUGAGAAAUUGAUUGACACUAGACGUCAACCCACCAUUGAUACAGCGUCUAACCCCAGCCAUGAAGCUAAGAUGCUUAGGAAGGCUGGUCAGAGCCAUUGGUUGGGCCAAAGACCUGUGAUUAGAGGAGUACCCAUGAAUCCAGUUGAUCAUCCUCGUGGUCGAGGUGAGGGACAAGGCAAAAGUAGUGGUAAGCAUGGAAGGUGUUCACUUACACCUUGGGGCAAGCCUUGUAAGUGGUGUAAAACUGCAUCUCGUAAGAAGAAAAGGAAAUUUAGCCGUCUGAUAAUAUUGUCCUUCUGUGCUAUUUAGCCUUUUUAAUAUUGUUACAUUGUUUGUUAUAUCUUUGAUGUUAGUUUUGGACCAGCUUUUAACUGAUCCAUAAUGAAACUGAAGUUUAAUUUUCGAUUGAACUUUUACUGGUUUUACUCCUGUCAUUUCAAUUUAGCUUUGAUUUAAGAUGCUGAAUUCUGUGAUUGGAGUAUGUAGAUUGGAAAGAGAGAUAUUAUGGGAUAGAAUAUAGAUUUUGUGUUUUGGUUUCUCAUGUUUAGAGAUAUUCUGUUCUUUUUCAUUUAUUCAAUUUGGUUAGUGGUGAUCUCUUAAAGAGUUAAUGCAUGUGUGUUUAUGUACUUUUCUUUUGGCCUUGAUUCUAUUUCUUGGGGAGUUUAUACAGAUUCCUCUUUUAUGCUUCACAUGCCACAUGCCACAUGAAAGAUGAAAGCCUUUUGUGUGAUUAGAAUUGACUUGCAUCAUAGUAACUUUGAACCACUGUAACAUUUUUAUAAUAGCAGUCUGCGAUCUCCUUGAAGGAUUCAAAGCAUUUUUUUUGUUAGUCUUGGCUUGCAUUAAAAUCCUUUAUACCGAUUGGUUGGUCUCCUUUAAAGCAAUUCCUGUUUUAAGUAAUCAAAAUCUUGAUUCGGAAGUGUGUUUUAGCACUACUAAAGGUUCUUUUAAAUACUAAAUUGAUUGUGAGUCUUCUAUAUCAUCUGAUUGAAAUACAUGAAAGCGAUAUUGGCUACAAAAGUACACUUGGGGUUGUUUAUAAAGUCUUCAACAGGAUUUUUUUUUCCCCUUCCUCAUGGUUUAUUUUUUAGUUGUUGUUUAACAAAACACUUAAAAGGUUCUCUUUAUAGGUUUCUGAAAAUAAUUUUAACAUAACCAUUUUUCAGAAGCACUUUAGAUACCUGUGGCAUUUAGAAAAUUUUGUUCCAGCAUUCACAUAAUAUACAUAGAAAUUUGAAUUUAUUUAAUUAUGAGCAUGUGCUAGUGCCUAUUGGCAUCCACUUGUAUAUACAAAUGUAUUAUACAAUACAAUAUUAGCUUGACUGUAGCAUAGAGGAGAAUAGGGUCGGAAUUGGUCUGAAUUCUGAUCUUUGAAUAAAUAUAAUAGCUGAUUGAAGCUGCUCAUGUGACUCCAUUGUCAGCAGCUUACACAAGGUCUUUUAGCUUUUUAAAAAGUUUUGUGAUAUUUCAUAGUUCACAUGGAUUGCUACAGUAUAGAAUACCCAAUUAGGGCAUUUUUAAUUCCUAUGCAUAGGAGUCUUCCUUCAUGCGCACGCGCGUACACACAUAUAUUUCCCACUUCCGUUCACUCCAAAAGUGAAAAUUGCGGGCAAUUUUUAUCUUCAGUAAAAUUGGAGUAGAUGUUGUUCUUAUUGGCGCAAAUUUGCGUACCAUGUUUGUGGGACCCUUAACCUUGCGCCUUUGUUACAAUCAUAUGCAUUCAGGCUUUUGGUAGACCCUUGGAUAGUAUGAUCAGUGUAUUAGAAUUUAGAAUUCGUGUUUAUAAGGGUCAGUUUGGUAAUGUUAUAAUUUUUAAAAUAAUUACUGUUAGCUAUACUAUAGAAAUAAUCAGUUGUGAAUAAAAUCAGUUAAACAGUUGAUAAAUUUUGUUUUUAAGGUGUUGUGAGUUUUAAACAAUUUGUAUGUAUUUAGUAAAUCUCGCUUUUAAAGUAUUAUAAGAAUGCAAAGACUUAAAUAGAUAGAAAUCUAUAAAAUUUAUUUACAUGUGCAUUUAUACAAUAAUAUUUUAUGCAUGUAUAUAAUAAUUAAUAACAGAAAUAAAUAUUUUUAUUUUAUUAAUUAUAUAUUUUUCUUAUUAUCUCAAUAUAAUUGGUAAUAAUAAUCUUUUUAAUAGUACAUUUAUUAAUCAGUAAUCGAAAUGGGCUGGAAUCGGAAUGGGGAAUGAAAAUCAUAAUAAUUUGUUUACUUUAGCUGUAGGAAUCAAAAUCACAUGGAGCUAUAUUAUCAUUAAUAUAUUUAUUUUGUCUUGGAAUCGAAAUAGAUUGUUACAAAUUACUAAACUGAUUUUAUUAUUAUCAAUAUUAUUAUUAAACAAGGUAAAGGGAAUUUUUAAUUUUCACUAGGUGUAGAAAUGUCGAUUCACUUCUCAUUCUCAUUCUCUGUUCUCAUUCCCCCUCCUCAUAGGAUUACCAUUUCACAUUCUCAAAAAUUUAUAAUUGACUCACAUUUCAUUCUCAUUCCUCCUUAUUUUGGAAGUAAAUAAGUUAAAGAAUCAUAUUCCUUUAUUCUUGUUUUUCAUUCACAUUCCUUCUCCUUAUUUUGGAAGUAAAUAACUUAAAGAAUCAUAUUCCCUUAUUCUUGUUCUCGUUCUCGUUCUCAUUCUCAAUUAGUAAGCACACUACAAAUGCAAUGAUUUUGUUUCCUAAUUAAACAAGGAUAAUUUUUAGAUUUUUAUAAUAUAUGUUAAGAUAUAUGUAGAAUUGUAUUAAAUAUGAAACUGACUCCCAAAAUCAUAUUUUAAAAAACUAUUUUUUUCUUAUUUUUUGAAAUUUAUUGUAGGCUAGGGUGAUUUUAUCAAAGUAAUUUUUUUAAAAAUUUUCGGACCCAUUUGGGAUUGUUUUUGGAAGACUCAAAAAGGAUUUUGAAUAGCUAAAAUCUAAGUUUGGUGUUUUAUAAUUUUUUUUUAAAAAAAUUACUUCUGAUAAAAUUAUCUUAUCCACGUUAAAUUUUAAAAAGAAAGGAAAAAGUAAUUUUUUAAAAUCUGAUUUUAAGAAUCAUUUUUAUACUUAAUACAAUUUCAUAAAUAUCCUGAUAUAUAUCAUAAAAAUUCAAAAUUAUCUUUAUUAGUUAGGAAAUAAAAUCAAUAAUUUUAAAAAGAUUAUUAUUAUUUCUAAUUAUAUUGAGCUAACAAAAAGAAAUAAAAUUACUAAUAUAAAAUUUAUUUUAACUAUUAAUUAUUAUAUUUACCAAUAAAAAACAUUUUAUAUACACGUUUAUAAAUAUUUAAAUAAAAUUUAUUCAUGUCGAGUUCAACCAUUUAUAUUAUUACAGCAAUUUAACAACUGGUUGUCGUUGCUCGGGAAUUAUAGAAUUACCAUAUGUUGUAAAAAUGCACUAAGCCAUGCCAUGUGUUUGAUACAGGUUAUGCUUGUUCGAUUAAAUUGUACUCACCUAUAAAUCAAAGAUUCAGUACAUGUGCAUGUUAGUGGUCUUCAGAAUCCAGAAUAAUAAAUGCCUUGAAAUGCUUGAGUUCAAUGAUUUCGCAGAAGACCAAGUUCCUUGUUAAUGAGUCAGCAUGACUGAAUCCUUCACUAAGCCAAAUUUGUUUUCACUUUUAGUUUAGAAAUUGUCAUUAAUUAAGAAAGUGUUUGAUAAAAUGCUUUGGAAGGCACUGUUCGUUGGACGUUUGCCCAGAAUUUAUGAAAUCAUUGGUGUUUCAUCCUACUUGUAACACUCUUCUUUAUUUUCUAUUCUAACGAAGAAAUCUUUUAUUAGAAAAGUGACAAGAUUGCACCUUUCAUUUGUAUGUUAAGGAGGUGUAAAAUUUUCUCGUUAAAAUCCCAUCAUGAAAAAAACUCACGGGCAAAAACCUACUGCAAAUUAAAGAAAGAAGAGUAAAUCAUGAUAAAUACACUCUCUUUUACAAUGCAAGCGGAUGCUUCAAUGAGUGGAUCAUGCGCCAAACUUGUAUAUCGUUGUUGGUAGUGCUUUGUUGAAUCAAUAUGAUAGAUUUUCACUUUUCUUUUUUUUCUUUUCUUUUUUUUUUCCUUGUGGAUACGAAAAUGAUUUGGGUUAAACUAUACUUAAUGCCGGUUUGGUACGACUUCUCUACUAAUUAAAAGAGUUUUUUUUCUUAAAUGUUCAAAAAGAUUUUUUAUUAUAAAUUGUAAUUUGAGUGGAUUUCUUGGGAUUAAACAAGUUACAUUUUUGUCUCUAUAAAGAAGUUCAAGUUAUAGAUUUUGGCAAUAGAGAUGUAGAGGUUUUUUUUUUUUCAGAGAACUAAAUUGUGGAGACUAUCUUUAUUUGGUUAUACAACUUUUUUUUUUUUAAUUUCAUAACAUAAUUUUAAAAGACUUAUUUAAUAAAUUUGAUAUUUUUUUGUAAAAAUUAUCAUUCACGUCCAAACUACUGAAGAUUUUUUUGUUAAACGCACUACUUAAAAGUUAUAUUAAUUAUAAACUUUCUAAAAAAAAAAAACAAUUCAAAGAGUUAUAGCAAACAAAGUGCUAGUUAACUUCAGUCGAUAAUAAUCUUCUAAUCCGUCCUACAAAUGACUUUCGACAAGAGUGGUGCUACUCACAUCUCUUCAAAACCCAUUUGACACCCCGUUUUCUUUAUUUAAAAUUUUAUACAUUUGAAAAUUAUUUUUUCUUUUACUUGACACUCUUCAAAUUCUAAAACUAAGCUUCAAAGAACCUUCGUCAUUAAAUCUCAUUGCCUUCCUUUAUUCUUGUUACUUGAGAAGAAGAAUGAGAGUCUGGAAGAAUGAAAGAAAAUUCAGCGAGAUAGAAAUCUAGUAAUUUCAUACCAUGAUUCAGAAUUUUUUUUUUCUCAAAAGAAUCUACUAUUCUUCUAUAUUUUAUAUAAAAAAAAGAGGAAAAGAGGAAACUGAGAGACUCUUUGUUUAAUGCUUGAAAGUUAGAAAGAAAAGGUCAGGAAGCUGCCUGGUAAUGAGAGUGAUGCAUCAGCACUAAUUUCUAUCUCGAUAGCUACCAAUUACCACCCCUAGAAAGGCUGUUGAUCAACAAGCCAUAUCUACUGGUUUCCUUUCUUUAAAAGUUCUAAUGGUCCCCUUAAAAAUCUCUAUAUGCUCAGUCUUCUCAUGAUAUAUCUGAUUUUCGCUGAGAAUUAUAGCAAGCGCUUCAGAUAUCAUAAUACUUUGUGACUGACUACUGUGCAUGCUUAAUUAUAAGAUUAUUCCUUGUGGCCAAAUAAAAUGACCCCCUUUAGAGCCUCUGUAUUUGAAAAAGCAAGACAAUGAGCUUAAUUAUUGUCAAGGUCUCCAGUAGGAUACUCCUAAAUCCAUAUACCCACCCACCAGAACUCCAAUCUUGAAACUUAUAGAUCAAACCAUAACUUAAUGUGCCUGGCAACCAGGGAUAUGUCAGGCCUUUAAAAAACCACUACAUACAUUUGAGUCUGAAAUUGCUCCAAUUAGUAUUAUGAUUAUUAUUUUAAAAAACUCAACCUAAGCAAAGUGCCUCAGCAUACAAUAUUUAUUGACAACUAAAAAGUAAUAGUGGGUGGGGGUUGCCCUGGGUUUUGUUUAAAAAUUGAAGUAAAAAAUUUUCAAAUUUCAAAUUUCUAGUACAAAGAAAAUUGAUGACUAAAUUAAAUUCUGCAAAUUAAUUUCUAAUAUUACAUGAAAAUAUAUCAAGUUAAUUGGUAACAUUGUUAAUCACUUAAUCCUCAAUCUAAUACGUUAUGUAUUUGUUACUCUGUCUUAAAUCAAAAGUGGCGGUGAUUUAUUUUUAUUUUCACUAAUAAGAAAGGCAUGUUAGAGCUUUUAUUUUGUUGAAAAUGAACCAAAAAACUCCGAUUGGGAGAUUAUAAAUGUAUUUAACAAUAAUUUAACUUCCAUUUUGAAAGUCAUUAUAUUGUUUAUUCAGGAGAAGCGUUCUUUUAUAUUUUAUAGAUAUAAUGUUUGCUAAUCCUAAUUUAAGCUAAAGCAUAUGCAUUUCCUAAUUAAUUCUAAUUUAAGCUUAUUCAACUGCAUUCAAUUAAUGUUCGAUAAUACAAAUUCUAAAUACUAUAUACUCUAAGAAUUUUAAUCGUAAUGACAAGGUGAUCAUUUAAUUAUUACCGUUAAAUUAUAUAUGUAUGGUGGAGACGAGUCCACACGGUUUUGACGAGAAAUUAAAGACAAUAUUUAGUUAAGCUAGUAGUAUUUGUUCUGUUUAGUACGUCGUUUUACCAGCAAGCAUCCCGGCAAUGCACGCAUUAAUAAAAAAAUUUAUCUGUUUGGACUGAUUGGUAGUGAAAAAUUCCACAUACUUUAAAUUAAGAAAAUGCUAAGUAUCUUAAAGAAAACAAUUAAAAUAUUGUCACUUGAUGCUUGAAUCAUUAUUGUUAAAUAUCUCCGUUGAGUUGUAUUCCCCAGCUGUGAGUAUCAUUAUUGUCUUUGCUAUCUAAUCAAUUCAAUUUUCUUUCUGGAGACAAGAUUUUGAUUCCUUUCAUCGUUACAAAAACGGAACCAUGGUUGAUGUGGGAGAGAUCUUACUCAACGCCUUCUUUCAGGUGUUGUUCGACAGGUUGGCUUCCCGUGAUUUGCUCAGCUUUGUCCGUCAACUUGGAGGGGGGGUCGAUUCCGAGCUCAAGAAGUGGGAAAGAAAGCUGAAGAUGAUUCAGGCGGUGCUCAACGAUGCAGAGGAGAAGCAACUGACUGAUGAGGCUGUGAAGAUGUGGCUGGACGAUCUCCAAGACUUGGCUUAUGACGCUGAGGACAUUCUUGAUGAGUUUGCUACUCAAGCUUUGGAAAGCAAGUUGAUGGAGCAAAAUCAGGAUAGCUCUGGCCAGGUUCUCAGUUUCAUCCCGGCUAGUUUGAAUCCGAAUGCUAUUAUGUUCAAUUAUAGCAUGGGGUCCAAGAUUAAAGAUAUUACUAGCCGGCUGGAGCAACUCUGCCAAGAAAGAAUUGAACUUGGACUGCAGCGGAUUACUGGAGGGGCAUCAUCAACUGCUGCUGCUACACAGCAGAGGCCGCCCAGUUCGAGUGUCCCAACAGAACGUGAAGUAUUUGGAAGAGCAAAAGAUAAGGCCAAAAUUCUUGAUAUGGUAUUGGCCGAUACCCCAAGUGAUCAUGCCGACUUUGUUGUAAUACCCAUUGUUGGCAUGGGCGGGAUAGGAAAAACAACUCUCGCUCGGGAGGUUUACAAUGACAAGGCCGUUGGCGGUUCCAAGUUUGAUGUAAAAGCAUGGGUUUGCGUAUCUGACGUCUUUGAUGUUUUGGGCAUCUCAAAGGCACUUCUCGAGUCAAUCACCCGCAGGCCAUGUCUUCUAAACAGUUUAAAUGAAGUGCAGGUUGAAUUGAAAGUAGCUGUGGAUAAAAAAAGAUUCUUGCUGGUCUUAGAUGAUGUUUGGAACGAGGAGUACAGCUUGUGGGUAGACUUAAAAGCUCCGUUCCUGGUUGCUGCACCAAACAGUAAGAUGAUCGUCACCACACGCAAUUCAAAUGUUGCAUCAACAAUGGGGCCAGUUGAACAUUACAAUCUCAGGAGUCUAUCGGAUGAUGAUUGCUGGUCCAUUUUCAUAAAGCAUGCAUUUGAAUCUAGAGAUCUUAACGCACAUCAAAUUUCAGAAUCAUUCCGCAAGAAAGUUGUUGCCAAGUGUGGAGGCUUGGCCCUGGCAGCAAAAACACUCGGAGGCCUUCUGCGUACGACGAGGCAUGAUGCGUGGGAUGAUAUAUUAGAGAGCAAAAUAUGGGAUUUACCACGACAAAGUGGGGUUCUCCCAGUAUUAAGAUUGAGUUACCAUCAUCUUCCUUCUCAUUUGAAAAUGUGUUUUGCUUUCUGUGCAAUCUUUCCAAAAGAUUAUGAAUUCAAAGAGAAGGAGCUGACUUUUUUAUGGAUGGCCGGAGGAAUUAUUCGACAGUCAAGAAGCAAAGAGCGGCUAGAAGAUUUGGGCAGCAAGUGCUUCCAUGAUCUGGUGUCAAGGUCAAUUUUUCAGAAAUCAGCAAUCUCUGCUAGUUCUAAAUUUGUAAUCCAUGACCUUAUCCAUGAUCUUGCUGAAUUGGUCUCUGGAGAAACCAUAUUUAGGUUAGAGGAGGCCAAUACUCUGUCAAGAAGAUUUGAAAGGGUUCGCCAUUCCUCCUAUGCUUGUGGUGGAUAUGAUGGUAAAAAUAUGUUCGAUGUUUUCAAUGAAAUUGAACAUCUACGAACAUUCUUGCCAUUACGCUUACGCAUAAGAGGUGGCUUUAGUUCUGGUUACAUAAGUCGAACGGUCCUAUCUGACUUGCUGCCAAAGUUCAAAAGGUUGAGAAUGCUAUCUUUAGAAGGAUACUGUAUUGGCGAGUUACCAAUUCCAUUUGAAGAUUUGAGACUUUUAAGGUUUCUCAACCUUGCUGACACUGACAUAAGAAGUUUACCCGAGUCAACAUGCAAAUUGCUGAACUUGGAAAUUUUUAUAUUAAGAAAUUGUUCCCGUUUGAUAAAGCUUCCAGCCAAAAUGAGGAAUUUGAUCAAUUUACGCCAUCUGGAUAUAAGAGGUGCGAAGUUGCUGAAGGAGAUGCCAGUCGGAAUGAAAGAGCUGAAGAAGCUUCAAACAUUGUACAAUUUCAUUGUGGGCAAGGGUGAAACUGCAUCCGGUUUGGAAGAAUUAAAAAGUUUAAACUUUCUUUGUGAUGAACUUUGCAUUGCUGGAUUAGAGAAUGUGAAUAAUCCACAGAAUGCAAGAGAAGCGGCAUUAUGCGAGAAGCACAAUCUUGAAGCACUGACUCUAGAUUGGGGGUCUCAAUUUGACAAUUCUCGAGAUGGAGUAGUAGAAGAGCAUGUACUGGAAAUUCUACAGCCUCAUAAACGUAUAAAAAAGGUGGCAAUCAGGAACUAUAGAGGUGCAAGAUUUCCACAUUGGAUAGGAGAUCCUUUGUUCUCCAAAAUAGAGUUCCUUGAAUUGGAGAACUGUGACAAUUGUGUAUCUUUGCCAUCGCUUGGCCGUUUGAGUUCACUUAAACACCUUGCUGUUAAAGGGCUGAAGAAACUAAAAAGCAUAGAGUCUAAGGUUUAUGGGGAGGGUUUCUCAAUGCCUUUUCCAUCAUUGGAGAUUCUAAGUUUCGAGAAUUUGCCAGAAUGGGAGCAUUGGGACACCGAUAUCAAAGGAAAUGUACUUGUUGAAAUAUUUCCUCGUCUCCAUAAACUUUCCAUUGUGGAAUGUCCCAAACUCUCCGGAGAACUGCCUGAUCUCCUGCCCUCCUUGGAGACACUUGUUGUUAGUAAAUGUGAAAAGUUGGUAGUUCCAUUGUCUUGCUAUCCGAUGCUCUGCAGAUUAGAAGUUGAUGAGUGCAAGGAACUAGCGUGCGCGACUCCAAUUGAUUUUAAGUUGAUAAAGUCUGUGACUAUUUCAAAUUGUUCACUAGACAUGUAUGGAUGCAAGGGGAUGCUAUACAAUGGUCCAGCUGGCUCUUCACUGCCGAAAUCCAUGACUAUUACAAAUGUUUUGGCGUUUGGAAAAUUAUUGAAGCCUGAAUUUCAGAUAUUAGAAACUUUGGUAAUUGACAAUUCUGAACAGCUCAUGUCAUGGAGGCAGCGUGGGAAUUUCCGAGAAGAAUAUUUGGCCGUUCGCCGAAGGCUUAUCAAACCAUUACAAGGGCUAAAUAUGCUCGCUUCCCCAGAAGAGGUAACAAUUGAAGAAAGUUGUGUGAGUUUUGUUUUAUUUUCAGAGAUCAAUUUCUUUCCCAGAAAUCUGCGCUCUCUUCUAAUUUGCAGCAGCACAGCUUUAAAAUCCUUACCCGAUGAAAUGAUGGACAACAGUUCACAACUCAAAAGGUUGUAUAUCAGAGAUUGCGAUUCUCUAACAUUCAUCACAAGACGCAAGCUACCUUCAUCUCUAAAAAGUAUAGAGAUUCAGAAUUGUGAGAAACUGCGACAUUUGUUCGAUGAUAAAGAGGAUGCUUCUUCUUCUUCUCCUCCUUCAUCCUCGCCCUCCCCAGUGAUGCUGAAACACCUGAGUAUAAAUAAUUGCCCAGAGCUCACCAGUUUAUCAACAGGAAUCCAAUUACUUGAGGCGCUUGAACACCUCGACAUACGGGAUUGUCGAAAGCUGGAGUCAUUACCAGAUGGCCUUCACAAUCUUAACUGUUUACAGGAGAUUACUCUAAACAGUUGUCCAAGUCUUCUUAGAGGGCUUCCCAACACGAUUUCAAGGGUUGACAUUUACAGCUGUCCAAGUCUUGUUUCCUUCCCAGAAAGAGGACUUCCCAACACGAUUUCAAAGGUUGACAUUUUUAAUUGUGAGAAGCUCGAAGCCCUGCCCAAUGACAUGCACAAACUCAACUCUCUUCGAGAUUUAAGCAUAUUGGGGUGUCGAAAUCUUGUAUCCUUUCCAGAAGAAGGUUUUCCUACCAGUCUAACAUCACUUAGAAUUGGAGAUUUCAAAAUGUAUAAGACACUCAUCCAGUGGGGGUUGCACAGGCUUACCUCUCUUAGACGCCUCUAUAUCGUUGAUUGUGAUGACGAAGCAGAGUGUUUUCCAGACGAGGAGAUAGGAACGAUGCUGCCUACCUCCCUAACUCAUCUAUCCUUUCGGGGAUUCCGAAAUUUGAUAUCUCUGUCUUCGACGGGUUUUCAGAGCCUCAACUCUCUUCAAUACUUGUGGAUCAGGGAUUGCCCGAAUCUCACAUCAUUCCCAGAGGUGGGCCUUCCAUCCUCACUUUUGGCAUUAUGCAUUAUCGAUUGUCCAAAGCUUAAAAAAGCGUGCAAAAGAGAUCAAGGAAAAGAGUGGUCCAAAAUUGCUCACAUCCCUCGCAUUGACAUAGACAGGAAAUUCAUAUACGAUCCAGAAUCAGAGGAGUAGAUUCUACUAUUAAGGUCAGUUGAUUUGUAUUAUCCGCCAUAACAAGCUCCUCCUUUUUUUUUAAAUAAUAAUAAUAAUUCUUACCAAUUAAUGAUGGUAAGAUGUGUACUUAUUCUUUCUUCCGGACAACCUUGCCUUCUUUCUUCGGUAGCAUAUCUAAUGAAUAUUUCUCUGUUUAGUUAAGGAUGAAUGCUUGGAGUGGAGUAUUUGGUAACAUUUCUGCCGUAGAUGAAACCUUGAAGAAAUGCCUGCACUUCCUGAGACCAAAUACAGGUCUGAUUCACAACAACACCUGUCCCAGAAAAUAUGAUACAAGCCAAAGCCAUGUUCUGAAGCAGAAAUAACGCAUUUCAAUUUUUAUCUGGUAAAAAUACACAGCCCUCGCCUACAAAAUUCUUAUCUUGGCUUUCACGGAUAUUUUUAUCACGUAACCACGUGAGGAAGCAUGUGCUGGAGCCUGAAUUCAGUUAGUUAAAGUUUGUUAACCACGUGUCAACAAACUGUAUAAUCUGGAAAAUACGCUAGCUAUUGAAACAGGGUAUAAAGGCUGGUUUUUCAGGGACUAUCGAGAGCUGAUUCUAGAGUCUUGUAGAAAGAGGUUUGUGAGAGAGAAAGUGUCAUCUUGUUCUCUGUAAAAUCCGAUAUAGGGCUCUGUAACGAUCUCCAUUGUUGAAUCAAUAAAACUCAUCUAGAAGCUUCUCCCGUGGACGUAUUCUGAGCAUUCAAUGCACAGCUGAACCACGUAAUAUCUUGGUUUCAGUGGGUUCUUGUUUUGGUUCUUGAUAAAUUCUUGUUGUUGUAUUGAGGUGUGAUUUGAUGUGUCUAAACUUGCAUCUGUGCAACUUGAAUUGAUUUGAUGAUAAUAAUCUUGGGCAGUGAUCAGAUUCGUUUAGUUUAAAGAACAAGCUGAUUACUACCGUACCUAUGCAUGGACCUGUAACCUGUGCUGACAAAACUGAAACUAUGAGUUUGAGGUAAAAAGGUCCUGGACCCUCACAGUUUAACUUGGACUUGUAGCUUUCUGGAUAAACACAUUUUAGAAGUUUGCAAUUUGUUGUUAAUUACGGUAUGUGAUUUUCUUUUUUGUUUUCGCUUUUGUAGAAUCUACCGUAUUACAUAUUGGCAGUUGUAUCUGAGGUACCAUUUUUGCAUUUAACUUGCCUUUAUCUGUUUUGCCUGUUACUUAACAACACAUCAUUUCCCAAAGAUUUGGAGAAGCAUCUCAAGAUGCUUAACAAACUUGACAAACUUCAAGAUGCUCCCAAGCCUUGAUUCUUCACAAAGGAAGACCUGUGAGUACACUUAUGCCCGCAAUUAUUGUGAAGUGAUUGCAACUUUGAUGCAGCGAAACGGUUUGCUGGUGCAAAGCUUUAAAACUGUUAAGAAUUACCCUGCAGGCUUGUUGGAUGUUGUAUACUCCGAAAGCCACCAACACCAAGAACUAUAACAGCAAGACUAGGUUUGCAUUAAUUCAAUUAGCUGAAAUAAUGAUGCAAAUGGCACUAUCCAGCUCGACUUAGAGACUAGUCAGGUCAAUCAUCCAUUUCAUCAACAGUUAAUGUCAGGAUGGUGGCUAGCAGAGGAAACAAAGGAUAUGUUGGAAUCAAUAAGAACAGUGAGAAGCAUGAGAGGAGCUUUGAUUAUAAGUAGGCUCAAUGAACUAGUGUUGGUAAGUGGUAAUUAGAGCAAUUUGUGAGCUUAGUAGAGUUUCAAUAUUUUCUGUUUGGGAUAUAGUUGAUAAGUUGAUACUCUGAUAAAGAAGGCUGAUUAUAGUAGCUGACUAUAUUAACCGGGUUCUCUUUUUUGGUUUGCUGUUGUUUUUUCUUUCAAUAUCUUUUUCAACAUUAGGUUUAAGAACAAGCUUGGGUUUGAUUAUCAGGUAAGAACAAAUGAAUGCUUUAACCAUGUUUCUCACUUAUCACAAUGCACGGAUUGAAGGCGUCUGAGUUGAUCCUGAAACGUGCCUCAGCAAGUAUUAUGAUUAUUAUUUUAAAAAACUCAACCUAAGCAACGUGCCUCAGCAUACAAUAUUUAUUGACAACUAAAAAGUAAUAGUGGGUGGGGGUUGCCCUGGGUUUUGUUUAAAAAUUGAAGUAAAAAAUUUUCAAAUUUCAAAUUUCUAGUACAAAGAAAAUUGAUGACUAAAUUAAAUUCUGCAAAUUAAUUUCUAAUAUUACAUGAAAAUAUUAUCAAGUUAACUGGUAACAUCGUUAAUCACUUAAUUCUCAGUCUAAUACGUUAUGUAUUUGUUACUCUGUCUUAAAUCAAAAGUGGCGGUGAUUUAUUUUUAUUUUCACUAAUCAGAAAGGCAUGUUAGAGCUUUUAUUUUGUCGAAAAUGAACCAAAAAAACUCCGAUUGGGAGAUUAUAAAUGUAAUUAACAAUAAUUUAACUUCCAUUUUGAAAGUCAUUAUAUUGUUUAUUCAGGAGAAGCGUUCUUUUAUAUUUUAUAGAUAUAAUGUUUGCUAAUCCUAAUUUAAGCUAAAGCAUAUGCAUUUCCUAAUUAAUUCUAAUUUAAGCUUAUUCAACUGCAUUCAAUUAAUGUUCGAUAAUACAAAUUCUAAAUACUAUAUACUCUAAGAAUUUUAAUCGUAAUGACAAGGUGAUCAUUUAAUUAUUACCGUUAAAUUAUAUAUGUAUGGUGGAGACGAGUCCACACGGUUUUGACGAGAAAUUAAAGACAAUAUUUAGUUAAGCUAGUAGUAUUUGUUCUGUUUAGUACGUCGUUUUACCAGCAAGCAUCCCGGCAAUGCACGCAUUAAUAAAAACAUUUAUCUGUUUGGACUGACUGGUAGUGAAAAAUUCCACAUACUUUAAAUCAAGAAAAUGCUAAGCAUCUUAAAGAAAACAAUUAAAAUAUUGUCACUUGAUGCUUGAAUCAUUAUUGUUAAAUAUCUCCGUUGAGUUGUAUUCCCCAGUUGUGAGUAUCAUUAUUGUUGUUUGUGCGAUAUGUUUCGACGAAGACCAGCAGUGAUGAGCAGGCGUCUGGUAGCAGGGUUCCUCGAACAGGUAUAUCUUGCAAGAGUCUGGUAGCAGGGGGAGCAAGAGCAGGAGUAUCCUGCUCGUCCACGAGUACGUCAUCCACGAGGCCGGUCUCCUGUUGGGAGCGUAAAGCCAUUCCUGCUAUAUUCCUGCUAGCGGUUGAGUCGAGGAGACCCGGUCAACGACAGUUGACGAGACAUGCUCUCCAGUCCGAGAAUCAAGGCGCGAAGGCCACGCAACCACCCACGACUACGGAAAUGGAGCAUCCACUUUCGAGAAGUGGGAGGAUGACAAGCGCAAAGGGAGGAAAUGCAUGGGCUCAGAAGUGGCCUAUAAAAAGGUAACCAACGAAGGUAAAAGGGUUAGCAAUUUUGAGAUUAUAACAGAGACUAAGGAAAUUCUAAAGAAGAGAAAACUAUUAAAAAGCCAUAAGAUCUGUGGCAAGCGUUCCCAGAGCCUUCAUAUCUGACUUGAGCGUCGGAGGGUUUACGCCGGGAAAACAACCGGCGUGCUCUGACUUGUUUCUGUGGACGCAGGAAUACUUGGAGAAGAAAGCAUACAAGGAGAGAUCCUGGUCGAGGUGAGGUUGAUUGAGCAGAUAUCCUGGUCGUAGGAAGAGCGUAACCAGAAUCUCGCAUCAAUAUUUUGGCGCCGUCUGUGGGGAGCUGAGCAAAAAGUUUCUGUUGAUAGCAAAGAAGAGGAGUGAAGCAAGUGAAAAGCAAUGGAGACAGGAGGAAGUAGUGCACAAGGGGGUGAUAUGAGGCUUAACGAUUCCGUGACGCUGAGGGAGAUAGCCAGUGAAGCACGGGAAAAAGCCAUGUUCGACCGGAUGGAACGGAUGGAAAAGCAGAUGGAGACCUUGACAACCAUCCUACAUGAGCUGCGGAGCGAACGAAGGGUAACCCAGGAGGAAAGGGUGAGAGGUGGUGGAGUGGCACCAGGUCCCGAUAGUGCGAGGAGAAGUCAAACCACCGGGAGAUUUGGUGGUGAGAGAGGUAACAUACCUCUGCAGGGAAAUUGCAUAGAGAGGAAGAGCAGUCCCCGGCAAGACAGAUUUUUGACGAGGACGACGGGGUGGCGAAUGCAGAGGAAGCAGAGUUGAGGCAAUACUUGCAUGAUGUAGUGCAAGAGCGGGAUCAAGUCGCAGCACGUGACCCUGGUCGUGCAGAGCAGCUGGAGGAGGAAGUGUGCAGGCUAGCGCAGAUAAUUGACGACAUACAAGGAAGGAGCAGAGCUCCUGGUUGGAGGAUAAUGCUGGACGGAGAAUCACCGCUCGCAGCAGAGAUCAUGAGGGCAGUUAUUCCAAGAGAUUUCCGCCUCCCAGACCUUAGAUAUUCGGGAUGAACUGAUCCGCUGGUGCACAUAGAGCGCUUCAACGACAUAACUGGGGUACAAGGAUUAUCUCAAUCCUAAAGGUGCAGGGUGUUCCCACUAUCCCUUGAGGGACGCGCACGAGAGUGGUACAGGAAACUUCCUCGGGGGAGCAUUAAAACCUUCGAGCAGAUGUGCCAGGAAUUUGCAGAACAGUUCCGUGGGGCAAUGGCACCAGAAGAUGACAUGAUGGAGUUGAAAAACAUGAAGCAGGGGGAACAAGAAACACUUCGGGAAUUCAUCAAGAGGUUUCACCGUGCUGUCCUCGACUUGGGAGCCUUCAACCACCCUCAAACGUUAAGGGGAUUGAAAGAAGGGGUGAAGAUAGGAAGGCUGUGGUACAACUUGAGAAGCCCAGUUAUUCAGACGUAUGCGGCCGCAUACGAGCAGGCUAAGAGAGACAUUGAGAUUGAAGAGGAGAAGGCAGCACAGAUUAAGACAGACCAGUUAGAAGGGUGGGGGAGGAAAGAGAAGAAAGCAUUACCGGGGAAUGGGCCGAUCAGGAGGAGGAACCACCAGGCCUCGAGUAGUGGAGCAGAAGGUCGGGUAACUGCUUACCAGCCUCAUCAGAGGCCACUACAGUAUCAGCACAGCAGGGCGCAACCUCCUCGUUCCCCAGCUGGGGAGCCUUGGAGAAGGCAUGACUCGGCGUAUGGUGGUCUUCAUCAACACUCCCACGGUAGUAGAAGGGGCAGACCAGAAGCGCUGCCACCGCCUCCAACUCAGAACGGAGCAAAUAGAGAAAGGGCAGUGCACCUGAUCGACCAGAACCAGGACUAUGGGCGAUAUACUUCCUUGAAGAUGUCCCUGGCCGAGGUGUACGAGGCCAUAAAGGAUCGAGGGUCGUUAUACCUCCCUGCCCCAAUAACAAAGCUACCCAGCAGGAGGGAUAGGGGACGCUAUUGUAAGUUCCAUGGCACUCAUGGCCACACCACAGCAGAUUACAGGGAUCUCAAGACCCAGGUUGAAGAUUUGGUGAGAAAUCGGUAUCUGGACGAGUUUAUAGAUGGGACCUUCCCAAUGGUAGCCUCGACCAGCGAAUGGGAGCAGAGUGACAGGAACUUGAGGCGCGAGCAGCCUGCAGUAAGGGUGAUAGCUGGGGGCCCAACAUUGGCCGGAGAUUCCAACAGGUUGAGGAAGAAUUACGCUAGAUACGCCAUGACCAGCAAAGAUGUAUUCUUCACCACCCCAGCAGCCAAACGUGCAAGAGUCAGGCAAGUGCCAAUUAUGUGGACAGAUGAGGAUGAAGAAGGGAUUCUAUACCCCCACGAGGAUGCUUUGGUCAUCAAGGCCACUGUUGCCAGCAAGAAGUUUGACAGGAUACUGGUUGACACAGGGAGCUCAGUUGAUGUGUUGUUUAAGUCAACCCUGGAGGAGAUGGGAAUAGCAGACCUGAAGUUGGAUUACACCAAUACCUCCUUGAAGGGGUUUGGAGGAGGAAAGUUGGUCCCUCUGGGCGUGGUCGAGCUGCCUAUCACGAUUGGGAGCUCCCCGACAGAAGGGACAAUGAUACUGGACUUUGUGGUAGUGGAUGAGGAAGGUCCUUAUCAGAUGAUCCUAGGCCGGCCAUUUCUGACGAUGAGCAAAGCGGUGCUGUCCAGCCAUUAUCUGGCUCUCAAGUACCGGGUGAAUGGGGUAGUUGGAGUGGUACGAGGAGACCAGAGGAUCGCAAGAAGCUGCUACUCCUCGGCAGCAAAGGAAGCAAUGCAGAUAACAUCCCUUGAUACCCGAGUGGAAGCCAGGAAUGGCAGCUAGUUGGACCCGGAGUUUACAAGCUGGUUCGCACGGAUGGCCACAAGGUGAAACGCCCAUGGAGCGCGACACACCUCAGGAAAUAUUUCUAGUAAGACUUACUCAUCUUUUAAAGUUAUUUCUGUUCGUGCCCGUUGUUUUCUAUUUUUCAUUUCUUAUUUCAAAGCAAUCUCAUGUAAGCCGAAUUCAAUAAUAAAUGAAUCAAUGAGGAGUUUCAGUCAACUACACUGUUCAAGAAAUUAUCAAAGGCAUGCAAAGGCUAGUCAAGUCUCAAAGCCUGUUUAUGGCGAGACCAGAAGCCAAGCGUGCCAGGAUCUGCUCGACCACGAGAAGGCGAGCAGAGUCCCAAGCUUUCAAGAAAUUAUCAAUGGCAUGCAAAGGCUCACCAAGUCUCAAAGCCUGUUUAUGGCGAGACCAGAAGCCAAGCGUACCAGGAUCUGCUUGACCACGAGAAGGCGAGCAGAGUCCCAAGCUUUCAAGAAAUUAUCAAAGGCAUGCAAAGGCUCACCAAGUCUCAAAGCCGGUUUAUGACGAGACCAGAAGCCAAGCGUUCCAGGAUCUGCUCGACCACGAGAAGGCGAGCAGAGUCCCAAGCUUUCAAGAAAUUAUCAAAGGCAUGCAAAGGCUCACCAAGUUUCAAAGCCUGUUUAUGACGAGACCAGAAGCCAAGCGUGCCAGGAUCUGCUCGACCACGAGAAGGCGAGCAGAGUCCCAAGCUUUCAAGAAAUUAUCAAAGGCAUGCAAAGGCUCACCAAGUCUCAAAGCCUGUUUAUGGCGAGACCAGAAGCCAAACGUGCCAGGAUCUGCUUGACCACGAGAAGGCGAGCAGAGUCCCAAGCUUUCAAGAAAUUAUCUAAGGCAUGCAAAGGCUCGCCAAGUCUCAAAGCCUGUUUUAUGGCGAGAUAGAAGCCAAGCGUACCAGGAUCUGCUCGACCACGUGAAGGUGAGCAGAAUCCCCAAGCAUCGGAAUAUUUUCCAAGGCAUGCAAAGGCUCGCCAAGUCUCAAAGCCUGUUUUAUGGCGAGACAGAAGCCAAGCAUGCCAGGAUCUGCUCGACCGCGCGAAGGCGAGCAGAAUCUCAAGCAUUGAAGAAUUUUCCAAGGCAUGUGGCAAAACCAUAUGCCGAGCCAGAACCUGCUAAACUAGACGAAGACGAGCAGAUUCUCAGACGAAAAAUAACUCAUGAUUACAACACAAGAAAGUAAUCAAAAACAUUUUUAUUAAUUUGUUAAUAAUUAACAGAGGAGAUAAUCUUCACAAACAUUGUUCAUUACAAUACAAGAAAUAUAUUAAGAGGACGGUGGAUCCGUAAGCCGAGCAGCCUCAGUCGGUUGGUCCACCUCAGGUGCUGGGGGAGUAUCACCGGUCGCGUCCGGGGGGGUGCUUGCCUCACCCACAUCAACAGGAACGGCACGAGGAGGAGAGUUUUCCUCAACUACGAUUGGUUCCACCGUUUCGGCAUCUUCCUUUGCAGCCUCCUCGUCCAUAUGUUGGGCGACACCAGUUGCAAGGUCGUCCAUCUUCAGAUCAGGAUGCUGCUUCCCGAGGACGACCAUGAUGCAACGAUAGGAAUGCCGAAGCCCCUAGUCGUACUGGUUGUCGGCCUCCCUCUCCAAGUUCUCGACCUGAGCUCGGUGGGAAUCGCGGAGAGAUUCGAGCUGAGCCUCAUAUAUAGCCUUCUGCCUUUGCAGAUCCUCCUCGACCUUGGUCAGCUCCUCCUCGAGGGUAAUGGCUUUUGCUUGAGCAAGAGAUUCUUGCUCUAUCAGCUUGAGGUUCUCAACAUUCAGCUCCCCUGCUUUCUUCUCGGCAGCGUCAGCUCUGGUCGUCGCCGAUUGAAUGUCCUCCUUAAUCUUGCGGUCGUAGCGGCCAACCUUCGCCUUGUAAUAGGUGGUCAUGCAGCUGAGGUAGAAAGCGCUAUACUGCAUGGCCCCCACCAGCUCACCCAAGGUGCAGCCGUCAAAGUCCUCCAGGUCCUUCUUGCUCACGAGUUUAGAUAACUCAUUGAGGUAGGGGACCAAGUGUUCUGCUUGGCUGUCAGGUAAGCGAGAUCGAGGCCCGACAGGAGGAGAAGAGGAAGCAGGAUCCGUGGCUGCUCCACUAGUUUCCCCAACUUUGGCAGGAGCAGGAGGUAAAGUCUUCAAGGGAGAGACUUGCUGUACGAUGUUGGCCUGCUUUGCAGAAGGGGCGUCCUUGUUCUGGUCCCUCUUCGUGGCUUGAGGUUGAGAACGUUUCCUGUUCAGAGCCCCAAUCACAGCGUCCUCCAUCUUAUGGCCAGGGAGUACCAAGCGAGACUCGAGCAAGUUGUAAACAGUUAUCAAUUCUCGGCUCGGGCAAGAGUUGGCUAGUAUAGCCUCGACCCGUUUGAGCUGAUCAGGUUGGAGCGAGAAGUGAACACCCCAAGAACCUGCAACACAAACAAACAUUUGAUUAGAGACAAACCAGUAAAGUGCAAACAACAAGGGAGACAAGACAUCUAAUACGAGCAGGCAACCUGGGACCAUGAAACGGGGUGGGACGCGACAAUCCUUCCCGUCUAUUUGUGCAACUUGACCCCAAGGACCCCCAGCAAAAAAGAAUUUCCUCUUCCAAGUCCCACCACCACCAGUUGGAAGAUCAGUUAUGGGUUUCUUGCUCUUGGUACUAGAUUGGAAGUAGUACCAGCCGGCAUCUUUGGGGCUGCUCUUUAGCUGGUACAGGUGCUUCACCUCAUCAACCGUGGGCUCGCUUUGGCAACAUCUGUCCCACAAUAUGAACAGACCAGAGAGCACCCUCCACCCAUUGGGGUUCAGUUGACCAGGAGCUAGAUUGAGCCCGUGGAGUAUGCGAGCAAAAUAGGGUUGCAAGGGGCACCUUAACCCGUACUUAAAACUCUCCUGGAACAAGGUGACAUAUCCCCUAGGAGGCCUGCUAGGACUAUCUUUUUUUCCUGGGAUCCUAAGGAGUACUUCACCAGGAAUAUGAUACCUGAGCCAGAGGUCAUCCAGCUCGUUGAAUGUGGUCGUGCAGGUCAUGUAAUCAAUAGCAUAAUCCCGCAACAAGGCUCUACCUCCUACUGUACUACGCCCUUCUGGUCGCAGUGUUCCCGGUGAAGAUCCCUCACCAGAGUCACCUCCUUGAUCCUCACUUAGGGUGUCUUCCGAGCCAGAAGGUCCUUCCUCGCCACUACUUCCGCUCGUGGAGGUUGUUUGGGGGGACAUCCUCCUAGCGCUAGUCCCGACACUAGACCUAGUGGGCUCUAAGGGGAUCCCGGGGUCAAAAGCAGAAUCAGUGAGCAGACUAGGCAAGAAACCUAGUUCGUCGUCAUCAGUCUCAAUGACUUUCUCCUUACCCUUCGACAUUCCCUAAGUUCUAACCAAAACACCACCACCGACUACAACCCCAAGUAAAGCAAAGAGAAAAGAAAUUAUCUACAACUAUCCGAGACCGAGGAGAUAGAAGUAAUACCUGAAGUAAUGGUUCAGUUAGAGAAAGGCAGGGGAGGAGACUUUUAUGCCGAGACUUCUUUGCCGGAGAGACAGAGACAGAGAUGGAGUAAAUGACGAAUUUUCCCUUUGAGAGGUUUUGGGUUUUCCUAAUGGAGAAUGAACUUUUGGAUUGCCAGCAUUUAAUAGCAUCGAAUCCCAAGGGUCUCGUAACCGUCGGUUUAAAAUUCAAAUAGAUGGGUAGAUUUCUGCCACAUCACCUGGUCCACAAUUAAAUGCGACACGACUCUUGGCAGCCUUUUCCUAUCCCGCGCGAGCAAGAACUGUCGAGUUUCUACUGUUGGCUCACUACGCUACCCAACACAAGAAACUGGGGGACUGGUGUUUGUGCGAUAUGUUUCGACGAAGACUAGCAGUGAUGAGCAGGCGUCUGGUAGCAGGGUUCCUCGAACAGGUAUAUCUUGCAAGAGUCUGGUAGCCGGGGGAGCAAGAGCAGGAGUAUCCUGCUCGUCCACGAGUACGUCAUCCACGAGGCCGGUCUCCUGUUGGGAGCGUAAAGCCAUUCCUGCUAUAUUUCUGCUAGCGGUUGAGUCGAGGAGACCCGGUCAACGACAGUUGAUGAGACAUGCUCUUCAGUUCGAGAAUCAAGGCGCGAAGGCCACGCAACCACCCACGACUACGGAAAUGGAGCAUCCACUUUCGAGAAGUGGGAGGAUGACAAGCGCAAAGGGAGGAAAUGCAUGGGCUCAGAAGUGGCCUAUAAAAAGGUAACCAACGAAGGUAAAAGGGUUAGCAAUUUUGAGAUUAUAACAGAGACUAAGGAAAUUCUAAAGAAGAGAAAACUAUUAAAAAGCCAUAAGAUCUGUGGCAAGCGUUCCCAGAGCCUUCAUAUCUGACUUGAGCGUCGGAGGGUUUACGCCGGGAAAACAACCGGCGUGCUCUGACUUGUUUCUGUGGACGCAGGAAUACUUGGAGAAGAAAGCAUACGAGGAGAGAUCCUGGUCGAGGUGAGGUUGAUCGAGCAGAUAUCCUGGUCGUAGGAAGAGCGUAACCAGAAUCUCGCAUCAACAAUUGUCUUUGCUCUCUAAUCUAUUCAAUUUUCUUUCUGGAGACAAGAUUUUGAUUCCUUUCAUCGUUACAAAAACGGAACCAUGGUUGAUGUGGGAGAGAUCUUACUCAACGCCUUCUUUUAGGUGAUGUUCGACAGGUUGGCUUCCCGUGAUUUGCUCAGCUUUGUCCGUCAACUUGGAGGGGGGGUCGAUUCCGAGCUCAAGAAGUGGGAAAGAAAGCUGAAGAUGAUUCAGGCGGUGCUCAACGAUGCAGAGGAGAAGCAACUGACGGACGAGGCUGUGAAGAUGUGGCUGGACGAUCUCCAAGACUUGGCUUAUGACGCUGAGGACAUUCUUGAUGAGUUUGCUACUCAAGCUUUGGAAAGCAAGUUGAUGGCGCAAAAUCAGGAUAGCUCUGGCCAACUUCUCAGUUUCAUCCAGGCUAGUUUGAAUCCGAAUGCUAUUAUGUUCAAUUAUAGCAUGGGGUCCAAGAUUAAAGAUAUCACUAGCCGGCUGGAGCAACUCUGCCAAGAAAGAAUUGAACUUGGACUGCAACGGAUUACUGGAGGGGCAUCAUCAACUACUGCUGCUGCACACCAGAGGCUACCCGGUUCAAUUGUCCCAACAGAACGUGAAGUAUUUGGAAGAGAAGAAGAUAAGGCCAAAAUUCUUGAUAUGGUAUUGGCCGAUACCCUAAGUGAUCAUGCCAACUUUGCUGUAAUACCCGUUGUUGGCAUGGGCGGGAUAGGAAAAACAACUCUCGCUCGGGAGGUUUACAAUGACAAGGCCGUUGGCGGUUCCAAGUUUGAUGUAAAAGCAUGGGUUUGCGUAUCUGAUGUCUUUGAUGUUUUGGGCAUCUCAAAGGCACUUCUCGAGUCAAUCACCCGCAGGCCUUGUCUUCUAAACAGUUUAAAUGAAGUGCAGGUUGAAUUGAAAGUAGCUGUGGAUAAAAAAAGAUUCUUGCUGGUCUUAGAUGAUGUUUGGAACGAGGACUACAGCUUGUGGGUAGACUUAAAAGCUCCGUUCCUGGCUGCUGCACCAAACAGUAAGAUGAUCGUCACCACACGCAAUUCAAAUGUUGCAUCAACAAUGGGACCAAUUGAACAUUACAAUCUCAAGAGUUUGUCAGAUGAUGAUUGUUGGUCCAUUUUCAUAAAGCAUGCAUUUGAAUAUAGAGAUCUUAACGCACAUCAAAUUUCAGAAUCGUUCCGCGGGAAAGUUGUUGCCAAGUGUGGAGGCUUGGCCCUGGCAGCAAAAACACUCGGAGGCCUUCUGCAUACGACGAGGCAUGAUGCGUGGGAUGAUACGUUAGAGAGCAAAAUAUGGGAUUUACCUCAACAAAGUGGGGUUCUCCCCGUAUUAAGAUUGAGUUACCAUCAUCUUCCUUCUCAUUUGAAAAGAUGUUUUGCUUACUGUGCAAUCUUUCCAAAAGAUUAUGAAUUCAAUCAGAAGGAGCUGACUUUCUUAUGGAUGGCUGGAGGAAUUAUUCGACAGUCACGAAACAGUGAGCAGCUGGAAGAUUUGGGCAGCAAGUGCUUUCAAGAUCUAGUGUCAAGGUCUAUUUUUCAACAAACCAGCUCUGGUAGUUCUAAAUUUGUAAUGCCCUAUCUUAUCCAUGAUCUUGCUGAAUUGGUUUCUAGAGGGACCAUUUUCAAGUUAGAGGAGUCCACCAACUUGUCGUC
This 32720-nucleotide long non-coding RNA is filed under the name Citrus maxima (pomelo). Its description in RNAcentral is "long non-coding RNA (CMAX_LNC000711)". Lineage: Eukaryota; Viridiplantae; Streptophyta; Magnoliopsida; Sapindales; Rutaceae. The record is from RNAcentral.